UCCCAGGAGGAAGGGGCGGCCAGGCCCGAGAGCGCCUCCCGCUCUGGGACCCAGAGCCCGUUCCGGACAAGUGAACUGAGGGGCUCUCCCAGCCAAAGGGAUCUUUAAUCCCAGUGGCUGGAUGCGGCCAUGGGGCAGCAGCCUUAGGACCUGCUAGAAGUGGCCAAAGACGAAUCCCAGCAGCAGCGCAUGGGGGCCAACGAGGACCUGAGCGAGGAGCUGAGCGACCUGCUCGACUUUAGUGCGGGAAAGAUUUGCCUUCAGCUAACAUCUGUUGCCAAUCUUCCUGUUUUUUUUUUCCUCCCCAAAGCCUCAGCACAUGGUCAUAUAUCCCAGUUGUAAGUCCUUCUAUCUCUUCAAUGUGAGCUGCCGCCACAGCAUGGCAACUGACAGGUGGGUGGUCUGGUUCUGUGACUGGGAAGCGAACGCAAGCUGCUGAAGUGAUGAUAACACUGAACUUUAACCACUAGGCCAUCAGGGCUGGCUUUGUUUUCCUUCUUAUAAGGUCUUUAAUUUUGGUAUCAGGGUAAUGUUGGUCUCAUAGAAUGAGUUGGGAAGUAUUGUAUUAUCAUCUAUUUUCUGGAAGAGUUUGUAUAGAAUUGUAAUUAUUUCUUACUUAAAUGCUUCUGAGAAUUCACCAGUGAAGACAUCUGGGCUCAAAGUUUUCUUUAUGGGAAUGUUUUUUAACUACAGAUUAAUUUUUGUAAUAGUUAUGGGGCUAUUCAGGUUAUUGAUUUCUUCUUGAAUGAGCUUUGAUAGUUUGUGUAUCGUAAG
This is a long non-coding RNA of Diceros bicornis minor, 774 nucleotides long. RefSeq lists it as uncharacterized. NCBI's taxonomy places the organism in Eukaryota, Metazoa, Chordata, Mammalia, Perissodactyla, Rhinocerotidae. The transcript has 3 exons. The record is from RefSeq and is a predicted model, not a curated record.